Molecule: transfer RNA, 73 nt
Filed under: Canis lupus familiaris (dog)
Lineage: Eukaryota; Metazoa; Chordata; Mammalia; Carnivora; Canidae
Also listed under: 2 other names
Rfam family: tRNA
About the family: Transfer RNA (tRNA) molecules are approximately 80 nucleotides in length. Their secondary structure includes four short double-helical elements and three loops (D, anti-codon, and T loops).
Source: Rfam by way of RNAcentral
GCACCAUUGGCUCAGUCAGUAGAGCAUGUGACUCUUGAUCUCAAAGUUGUGAGUUUGAGCCCUACGUUGGGUG